AGGGAGUUCAGAUCUGGAUCUUCUCGUGUGCUCAUCACCACUGACCUGCUGGCCCGUGGUAUUGAUGUGCAGCAAGUCUCCCUUGUCAUCAACUACGACCUGCCAACUCAGCCCGAGAACUACCUCCAUCGCAUUGGUCGUAGUGGUCGGUUCGGGAGGAAGGGAGUUGCCAUCAACUUUGUCACCCGUGAAGAUGAGAGGAUGCUGUUCGACAUCCAGAAGUUCUACAACGUGGUCAUUGAGGAGCUCCCGGCCAAUGUCGCUGACCUGCUCUAGAUUAUAUCUUAGGAAUGCAGUAAGGUGCUUGAUAAAGUUCGUUUUUGUUGAAUAUCUCCCAACUCUCAGUUUUGGAGUGGUAAGGUCUGGGUCUGUUUGAAUCGUCGUUAAGGAUGGUCUGAGUUUUUCUUGUUAUGCAAUGUCCGGAAAUUUUUGUAGUGCGUAGGCUGUGCCAUCUCCUGGGCUAGCUGGGAUAGAGUAACUCUCAUAAGUAUUUUACUUUUCGUUGUGAAGUUAUUUUAUUGCGCAUCUGUUUUUGCAUGCUCGAGCUCACAUCUUUUUCCUUCUAUCAUGUAUGAUCGAGUAAAAUUGA
This 589-nucleotide long non-coding RNA is filed under the name Triticum aestivum (bread wheat). RNAcentral's name for it is "long non-coding RNA (TAES_LNC009962)". Lineage: Eukaryota; Viridiplantae; Streptophyta; Magnoliopsida; Poales; Poaceae. The record is from RNAcentral.